CCUACGGGUGGCAGCAGUGAGGAAUAUUGGUCAAUGGCCGGAAGGCUGAACCAGCCAAGCCGCGUGAAGGACGAAGGUGCCAAGCAUUGUAAACUUCUUUUGUCAAGGGACAAAAUCAGGUACGCGAGCCUGACCGAGGGUACUUGCAGAAAAAGCAUCGGCUAACCACGUGCCAGCAGCCGCGGUAAUACGGAGGAUGCGAUCGUUAUCCGGAUUUAUUGGGUUAAAGGGGUGCGUAGGCGGGCUGUUAAGUCAGCGGUAACAGCCCGGGGCUGAACCCCGGCGAGCCGUUGAAACUGGCUGUCUGGAGUUGUCGAGAGGUAUGCGGAAUGCGCGGUGUAGCGGUGAAAUGCUUAGAGAUUGCGCAGAACUCCGAUUGCGAAGGCAGCAUACCGGCGGCGAUCUGACGCUGAGGCACGAAAGCGUGGGUAUCGAACAGGAUUAGAUACCCUUGUAGUC
RNAcentral lists this ribosomal RNA (459 nucleotides) under uncultured bacterium. RNAcentral's name for it is "partial 16S ribosomal RNA". It matches the Rfam family "Bacterial small subunit ribosomal RNA", at positions 338 to 795 of the family's 1533-position model. The record is from RNAcentral.